AUUGAACGCUGGCGGCAGGCUUAACACAUGCAAGUCGAGCGGUAGCACAAGAGAGCUUGCUCUCUGGGUGACGAGCGGCGGACGGGUGAGUCAUGUCUGGGAAACUGCCUGAUGGAGGGGGAUAACUACUGGAAACGGUAGCUACUACCGCAUAACGUCGCCAGACCAAAGAGGGGGACCUUCGGGCCUCUUGCCAUCAGAUGUGCCCAGCUGGGAGUAGGUAGUAGGUGGGGUAGUGGCUCACCUAGGCGACGAUCCCUAGCUGGUCUGAGAGGGUGACCAGCCACACUGGAACGAAGACACGGUCCAGACUCCUACGGGAGGCAGCAGUGGUGAAUAUGGCACAAUGGGCGCAAGCCUGAUGCAGCCAGGCCGCGUGUGUGAAGAAGGCCGUCGGGGUGUAAAGCACUUUCAGCGAGGAGGAAGGUGGUGAACUUAAUACGUUCAUCAAGUGACGUUACUCUCAGAAGAAGCACCGGCUAACUCCG
This 488-nucleotide ribosomal RNA is filed under the name uncultured bacterium. RNAcentral describes it as "partial 16S ribosomal RNA". It matches the Rfam family "Bacterial small subunit ribosomal RNA", at positions 29 to 505 of the family's 1533-position model. The record is from RNAcentral.